Molecule: transfer RNA, 70 nt
Filed under: Scincella modesta (modest ground skink)
Lineage: Eukaryota; Metazoa; Chordata; Lepidosauria; Squamata; Scincidae
Also listed under: 1 other name
Description: tRNA-Gln
Rfam family: tRNA
About the family: Transfer RNA (tRNA) molecules are approximately 80 nucleotides in length.
Source: RNAcentral
UAGAGAGUAGUAUAAUGGAGUACGAAAGGUUUUGGGCCUUUUUGUACAGGUUCGUGUCCUGUUUUUCUAU